UGGGGAAUAUUGCACAAUGGGGGAAACCCUGAUGCAGCGACGCCGCGUGAGUGAAGAAGUAUUUCGGUAUGUAAAGCUCUAUCAGCAGGGAAGAAAAAAGACGGUACCUGACUAAGAAGCCCCGGCUAACUACGUGCCAGCAGCCGCGGUAAUACGUAGGGGGCAAGCGUUAUCCGGAAUUACUGGGUGUAAAGGGUGCGUAGGUGGCAUGGUAAGUCAGAAGUGAAAGCCCGGGGCUUAACCCCGGGACUGCUUUUGAAACUGUCAUGCUGGAGUGCAGGAGAGGUAAGCGGAAUUCCUAGUGUAGCGGUGAAAUGCGUAGAUAUUAGGAGGAACACCAGUGGCGAAGGCGGCUUACUGGACUGUCACUGACACUGAUGCACGAAAGCGUGGGGAGCAAACAGG
Molecule: ribosomal RNA, 405 nt
Filed under: uncultured bacterium
Lineage: Bacteria
Description: bacterial SSU rRNA
Rfam family: Bacterial small subunit ribosomal RNA
Source: RNAcentral